GCCAGGUACAGUAGUGCAUACCUCUAAUCCCAGCUACUUGAGAGGCUGAGGCAGGAGAAUCUCAUGUUCUAGGCCAGCCUCAGCAACAUAGUAAGACCCUGUCUCAA
Molecule: small RNA, 107 nt
Filed under: Marmota monax (woodchuck)
Lineage: Eukaryota; Metazoa; Chordata; Mammalia; Rodentia; Sciuridae
Source: RNAcentral